AUCUCACCUUUCUCUGACUGUC
RNAcentral lists this microRNA (22 nucleotides) under Sarcophilus harrisii (Tasmanian devil). Its description in RNAcentral is "Sha-Mir-7398-P24c-v2_3p (mature (guide))". The record is from RNAcentral. Lineage: Eukaryota; Metazoa; Chordata; Mammalia; Dasyuromorphia; Dasyuridae.